This 94-nucleotide transfer RNA is filed under the name Actinomycetota bacterium. Its description in RNAcentral is "tRNA-OTHER". It matches the Rfam family "Selenocysteine transfer RNA". Lineage: Bacteria; Bacillati; Actinomycetota. The record is from RNAcentral.
GGGAGGCACGGGACUGGUGUCCCCCGCGGGCUGCAAACCCGUUGGCCGGCCCUGAGAAAGCCGGGGUGGGUUCGAUCCCCACUGCCUCCCUCCA